Molecule: ribosomal RNA, 440 nt
Filed under: uncultured bacterium
Lineage: Bacteria
Description: partial 16S ribosomal RNA
Rfam family: Bacterial small subunit ribosomal RNA
Source: RNAcentral
CCUACGGGUGGCAGCAGUGGGGAAUAUUGCACAAUGGGGGAAACCCUGAUGCAGCGACGCCGCGUGAGUGAAGAAUUAAUUCGUUAUUUAAAGCUCUAUCUGCAGGGAAGAAAAUGACGGUACCUGAGUAAUAAGCCCCGGCUAACUACGUUCCAGCAGCCGCGGUAAUACGUAGGGGGCAAGCGUUAUCCGGAUUUACUGGGUGUUAAGGGAGCGUAGACGGCAGUGCAAGUCUGGAGUGAAAGGCGGGGGGUCAACCCCCGGACUGCUCUGGAAACUGUACGGCUGGAGUGCAGGAGAGGUAAGUGGAAUUCCUAGUGUAGCGGUGAAAUGCAUAGAUAUUAGGAGGAACACCAGUGGCGAAGGCGGCUUACUGGACUGUAACUGACGUUGAGGCUCGAAAGCGUGGGGAGCAAACAGGAUUAGAUACCCUUGUAGUC